RNAcentral lists this ribosomal RNA (493 nucleotides) under uncultured bacterium. RNAcentral describes it as "partial 16S ribosomal RNA". It matches the Rfam family "Bacterial small subunit ribosomal RNA", at positions 29 to 523 of the family's 1533-position model. The record is from RNAcentral.
AGCGAACGCUGGCGGCAUGCUUUACACAUGCAAGUCGAACGGUAACAGGUUAAGCUGACGAGUGGCGAACGGGUGAGUAAUGCAUCGGAACGUACCCGAUCGUGGGGGAUAACGCAGCGAAAGCUGCGCUAAUACCGCAUACGAUCUGAGGAUGAAAGCGGGGGACCGUAAGGCCUCGCGCGAUCGGAGCGGCCGAUGUCAGAUUAGGUAGUUGGUGGGGUAAAGGCUCACCAAGCCAACGAUCUGUAGCUGGUCUGAGAGGACGACCAGCCACACUGGGACUGAGACACGGCCCAGACUCCUACGGGAGGCAGCAGUGGGGAAUUUUGGACAAUGGGCGAAAGCCUGAUCCAGCAAUGCCGCGUGCAGGAAGAAGGCCUUCGGGUUGUAAACUGCUUUUGUACGGAGCGAAAAGGCUCUCUCUAAUACAGGGGGCUCAUGACGGUACCGUAAGAAUAAGCACCGGCUAACUACGUGCCAGCCGCCGCCGUAA